RNAcentral lists this transfer RNA (76 nucleotides) under Candidatus Omnitrophota bacterium. Its description in RNAcentral is "tRNA-Ala". It matches the Rfam family "tRNA". Rfam says of the family: Transfer RNA (tRNA) molecules are approximately 80 nucleotides in length. Their secondary structure includes four short double-helical elements and three loops (D, anti-codon, and T loops). The record is from RNAcentral. Lineage: Bacteria; Pseudomonadati; Candidatus Omnitrophota.
GGGGCCGUAGCGAAGUUGGGAUCGCGUUUGACCGGCAGUCAAAAGAUCGAGGGUUCGAAUCCCUCCGGCUCCACCA